Molecule: non-coding RNA, 82 nt
Filed under: Aeromonas jandaei
Lineage: Bacteria; Pseudomonadati; Pseudomonadota; Gammaproteobacteria; Aeromonadales; Aeromonadaceae
Description: Cyclic di-GMP-I riboswitch
Rfam family: c-di-GMP-I riboswitch aptamer
About the family: GEMM was predicted in a large-scale screen for bacterial structured RNA regulatory elements. Genes associated with GEMM are involved in a diverse array of functions, including chemotaxis regulation, signal transduction, secretion and chitin.
Source: RNAcentral
GGUAAAGGGCAAACCGGUUGAAAUGCCGGGACGCAAUACCUCCGGUCUUCCGAUCAGACGAUGAUCCAGAUAGCGGGGUUUC